Molecule: ribosomal RNA, 253 nt
Filed under: uncultured bacterium
Lineage: Bacteria
Description: partial 16S ribosomal RNA
Rfam family: Bacterial small subunit ribosomal RNA
Source: RNAcentral
UACAGAGGUCCCAAGCGUUGUUCGGAUUCAUUGGGCGCAAAGGGUGCGUAGGCGGCGCGGUAAGUCGGGUGUGAAAUCUCGGAGCUUAACUCCGAAACUGCAUUCGAUACUGCCGUGCUUGAGGACUGGAGAGGAGACUGGAAUUUACGGUGUAGCGGUGAAAUGCGUAGAUAUCGUAAGGAAGACCAGUGGCGAAGGCGGGUCUCUGGACAGUUCCUGACGCUGAGGCACGAAGGCCAGGGGAGCAAACGGG